AAUAGAUACCCGGGUAGUCCAUGCCGUAAACGUUGGGAACUAGAUGUAGGGACCAUUCCACGGUUUCUGUGUCGCAGCUAACGUAUUAAGUUCCCCGCCUGGGGAGUACGGCCGCAAGGCUAAAACUCAAAGGAAUUGACGGGGGCCCGCACAAGCGGCGGAGCAUGCGGAUUAAUUCGAUGCAACGCGAAGAACCUUACCAAGGCUUGACAUAUACCGGAAAAGUUCAGAAAUGUUCUCCCGCAAGGUCGGUAUACAGGUGGUGCAUGGUUGUCGUCAGCUCGUGUCGUGAGAUGUUGGGUUAAGUCCCGCAACGAGCGCAACCCUCGUUCUAUGUUGCCAGCACGUAAUGGUGGGAACUCAUAGGAGACUGCCGGGGUCAACUCGGAGGAAGGUGGGGAUGACGUCAAAUCAUCAUGCCCCUUAUGUCUUGGGCUUCACGCAUGCUACAAUGGCCGAUACAAAGGGCUGCAAUCCGUAAGGUGGAGCGAAUCCCAAAAAGUCGGUCUCAGUUCGGAUUGAGGUCUGCAACUCGA
Molecule: ribosomal RNA, 536 nt
Filed under: uncultured bacterium
Lineage: Bacteria
Description: bacterial SSU rRNA
Rfam family: Bacterial small subunit ribosomal RNA
Source: RNAcentral